UACGUAGGGGGCAAGCGUUGUCCGGAAUCAUUGGGCGUAAAGAGCGUGUAGGCGGCUCGGUAAGUCCGCUCUGAAAGCCCGGGGCUCAACCCCGGGAGGCGGGCGGAUACUGUCGGGCUAGAGUCCGGAAGAGGCGAGUGGAAUUCCUGGUGUAGCGGUGAAAUGCGCAGAUAUCAGGAGGAACACCAAUGGUGAAGGCAGCUCGCUGGGACGGUACUGACGCUGAGACGCGAAAGCGUGGGGAGCAAACAGG
RNAcentral lists this ribosomal RNA (253 nucleotides) under uncultured bacterium. Its description in RNAcentral is "partial 16S ribosomal RNA". It matches the Rfam family "Bacterial small subunit ribosomal RNA", at positions 524 to 776 of the family's 1533-position model. The record is from RNAcentral.